Cercocebus atys (sooty mangabey) is the source of this 1871-nucleotide long non-coding RNA. RefSeq lists it as uncharacterized. The transcript is spliced from 4 exons. Lineage: Eukaryota; Metazoa; Chordata; Mammalia; Primates; Cercopithecidae. The record is from RefSeq and is a predicted model, not a curated record.
AGAAAUUUACAUCUUUAAAAAAAUCUCCACAUAGUCAAGAAAACUUCUUUUUCUUUGGAGCUAUUUACAGCUUUUAACAAUUGAAUAAAUUAUAGUCCUGUGAGCAAAAUUUGGAGCAUAUUUCUUUGUGUCUACCUGAUUUAUCUAGAAUUUGAAAACAAUUUAAAUCUGUGCUGUACCUGACCUUGUGAAUCAGAAGUUUCACCCAAGGAUCUAUACAUUUAUGAAGCUCCACAGAUUAUCUUGAGACACGCAAGGUUGAGGACCAUUGGCCCAUCUAGGAGGUUGUGCACACAUGACUCCUGUUUCUGUGGUGAAAAUAGAGUUCUGUUGGAGGUCCUCCUUACCACUGAUGGCUUCUUAGUGCGUGAGAGAGUCUGCCCCCAGCCUGGCAGUGCUGCUCCCUGCACAGGUCCCCUCAGCCCUGGGCCCCACACUGAGGUUCCUGAAGACAAUGCCCCGGACUGAGUCAGACCCUGCCUUGGGACGUGGUUAGAGAGCCCACCCCAGACAGAGCUCUGUGGAUUCCCAGUGGGCCCUCUGCUGGAGGAAGGAGGCCCUGCUACUCACUCCCAAAGAAAGCAGCAAUCAUUUCAUUGCAGAGGGAAGAAAAUGCUCCCCAGGUCAGGGGAAGGGACUCUCUGCAUCCCUGGAAGGACCGAAAAAAGCAGGGUCCAGCUUACCCUUAUCCCCAUGACCAUAACUCUGUGUCUCUUGUUGGUUUUAGGGGUGGAUUCUUAGUCUGUGGUGACCCAGGAGCCAUCACUCUUAGGGCCUCCUGGAGGGACGGUCACACUCACCUGUGCCCUGAGCUCUGGCUCAGUCUCUACCAGUCACUACCCCAGCUGGUACCAGCAGACCCCAGGCCAGGUUCCACAUAUACUCAUCUGCAGCCCAAACACCUGCCCUUCUGGGGUCCCUGGGCGCUUCUCUGGCUCCAUCCUUGGGAACAAAGCUGCCCUCACCGUCACGGGAACUCAGUAGAUGAUGACUCUGAUCAUUACUAUGUGCCAUACAUGGGUAGUGGCAAUUCCACAGUGAUUUAAACCCAUAAGGAGGUACAACUAAAACCACUUUACAUACUCAGAACGAUUCAGCCCUUAGAGGCAGGAGAGAAGGUGAGAAGGUGGGAACGUCAACACCAUGAGCAGGGAGCCUCCUUGCCCCAGUGUCCUGUGCAAGGGUUCACUGCCAGGUGCCUUAUCCAGUCUCUCCCAGGGUGUGUCCAUCUCCCCAGUGUGAUGCUUCCGUGAAUACAUAAACUCACAGUGAGUCACAGAGACGCCCGUGCUCCAGAAAGACUCUUCUUAUUCAGAGAGAGUCAACAGACAUAUGCUCAUUCAUUAAUUUGUCCAUGGAGACCAAUUUGUAUUUUAUUUAUCACUGAAGUAAGGGCCUUGCUGAGUGCCUUGUUAAAAAUGCAAUUUGCCAAUCUAGACCUACUGAAUCAGAAACUUGUGUUGGUGCCUAAUAAUAUGUAUUUAACAAGAUGUACAUGAGACUUUUGUUAGCAUUAAUAUUUGGGAAGAGCCUACUUUUAUUAUUAUGAAAUUAUUCCUGGGAGUCUCUGUUUAAAAUGAUCUCAGGUAAUAUUCCAUGACCCCACUCUCCUAAAUUGCCAUUCAAAACCUCCAGAAUGCUCAGAAACAGACUUAAAAUCUCAAGCCAUGGCCAAAUUUAUAACUUUAUUUCUGCAGACAGAGAUGGGAGGAAUUUCCAAAACCAUACAUUCUUAGGUGCCAGGUGUGGUGACUCCUGCCUAUAAUACCUAAUACUUUGGGAGGCUAAGGCAUGAGGAUUUCUUGAGGCCAGGAGUUUGAGACCAUCCUCCUCCACAUAGUGAGUGAGAUUCCAUCACUACAAAAAAAAAA